This 460-nucleotide ribosomal RNA is filed under the name uncultured bacterium. RNAcentral describes it as "partial 16S ribosomal RNA". It matches the Rfam family "Bacterial small subunit ribosomal RNA", at positions 338 to 795 of the family's 1533-position model. The record is from RNAcentral.
CCUACGGGAGGCAGCAGUGAGGAAUAUUGGUCAAUGGACGAGAGUCUGAACCAGCCAAGUAGCGUGAAGGAUGACUGCCCUAUGGGUUGUAAACUUCUUUUAUAAAGGAAUAAAACGAGGCACGUGUGCCUUUUUGCAUGUACUUUAUGAAUAAGGAUCGGCUAACUCCGUGCCAGCAGCCGCGGUAAUACGGAGGAUCCGAGCGUUAUCCGGAUUUAUUGGGUUUAAAGGGAGCGUAGGUGGGUUGUUAAGUCAGUUGUGAAAGUUUGCGGCUCAACCGUAAAAUUGCAAUUGAUACUGGCAGUCGUGAGUACAGUUGAGGUAAGCGGAAUUCGUGGUGUAGCGGUGAAAUGCUUAGAUAUCACGAAGAACCCCGAUUGCGAAGGCAGCUUACUAAACUGGGACUGACACUGAUGCUCGAAAGUGUGGGUAUCAAACAGGAUUAGAUACCCGAGUAGUC